This 253-nucleotide ribosomal RNA is filed under the name uncultured bacterium. RNAcentral describes it as "partial 16S ribosomal RNA". It matches the Rfam family "Bacterial small subunit ribosomal RNA", at positions 524 to 776 of the family's 1533-position model. The record is from RNAcentral.
UACGUAGGGUGCAAGCGUUACUCGGAAUUACUGGGCGUAAAGCGUGCGCAGGCGGUUUUGUAAGUCUGUUGUGAAAUCCCCGGGCUCAACCUGGGAAUGGCAAUGGAGACUGCAAGGCUAGAGUUUGGCAGAGGGGGGUAGAAUUCCACGUGUAGCAGUGAAAUGCGUAGAUAUGUGGAGGAACACCGAUGGCGAAGGCAGCCCCCUGGGUCAAAACUGACGCUCAUGCACGAAAGCGUGGGGAGCAAACAGG